UAGGAAGGAGGGUUCAUAUAGCCAUGGUGGUUAUCUAGGAAGGAGACCAGGAGGAGGGUUCUUAAAGCCAUGGUGGUUAUCUAGGAAGGAGACCAGGAGGAGACCGGGAGGAGGGUUCAUAAAGCCAUGGUGGUUAUCUAGGAAGGAGGGUUCAUAUAGCCAUGGUGGUUAUCUAGGAAGGAGACCAGGAGGAGGGUUCUUAAAGCCAUGGUGGUUAUCUAGGAAGGAGACCAGGAGGUGGGUAUAGCCAUGGUGGUUAUCUAGGAAGGAGACCAGGAGGAGGGUAUAGCCAUGGUGGUUAUCUAGGAAGGAGACCGGGAGGAGGGUUCAUAAAGCCAUGGUGGUUAUCUAGGAAGGAGACCAGGAGGAGGGUUCAUAUAGCCAUGGUGGUUAUCUAGGAAGGAGACCAGGAGGAGGGUUCAUAAAGCCAUGGUGGUUAUCUAGGAAGGAGACCAGGAGGUGGGUUCAUAAAGCCAUGGUGGUUAUCUAGGAAGGAGACCAGGAGGAGGGUUCAUAAAGCCAUGGUGGUUAUCUAGGAAGGAGACCAGGAGGUGGGUAUAGCCAUGGUGGUUAUCUAGGAAGGAGACCAGGAGGUGGGUAUAGCCAUGGUGGUUAUCUAGGAAGGAGACCAGGAGGUGGGUUCAUAAAGCCAUGGUGGUUAUCUAGGAAGGAGACCAGGAGGAGGGUUCAUAUAGCCAUGGUGGUUAUCUAGGAAGGAGACCAGGAGGAGGGUUCUUAAAGCCAUGGUGGUUAUCUAGGAAGGAGACCAGGAGGUGGGUAUAGCCAUGGUAGUUAUCUAGGAAGGAGACCAGGAGGAGGGUUCAUAAAGCCAUGGUGGUUAUCUAGGAAGGAGACCAGGAGGUGGGUUCAUAAAGCCAUGGUGGUUAUCUAGGAAGGAGACCAGGAGGAGGGUUCUUAAAGCCAUGGUGGUUAUCUAGGAAGGAGACCAGGAGGUGGGUUCAUAAAGCCAUGGUGGUUAUCUAGGAAGGAGACCAGGAGGUGGGUUCAUAAAGCCAUGGUGGUUAUCUAGGAAGGAGACCAGGAGGAGGGUUCUUAAAGCCAUGGUGGUUAUCUAGGAAGGAGACCAGGAGGAGGGUUCAUAAAGCCAUGGUGGUUAUCUAGGAAGGAGACCAGGAGGAGGGUUCUUAAAGCCAUGGUGGUUAUCUAGGAAGGAGACCAGGAGGAGGGUUCUUAAUGCCAUGGUGGUUAUCUAGGAAGGAGACCAGGAGGUGGGUAUAGCCAUGGUAGUUAUCUAGGAAGGAGACCAGGAGGAGGGUUCAUAAAGCCAUGGUGGUUAUCUAGGAAGGAGACCAGGAGGAGGGUUCUUAAAGCCAUGGUGGUUAUCUAGGAAGGAGACCGGGAGGUGGGUAUAGCCAUGGUGGUUAUCUAGGAAGGAGACCAGGAGGAGGGUUCAUAAAGCCAUGGUGGUUAUCUAGGAAGGAGACCAGGAGGAGGGUUCAUAUAGCCAUGGUGGUUAUCUAGGAAGGAGACCAGGAGGAGGGUUCAUAAAGCCAUGGUGGUUAUCUAGGAAGGAGACCAGGAGGAGGGUUCAUAAAGCCAUGGUGGUUAUCUAGGAAGGAGACCAGGAGGUGGGUUCAUAAAGCCAUGGUGGUUAUCUAGGAAGGAGACCAGGAGGAGGGUUCAUAAAGCCAUGGUGGUUAUCUAGGAAGGAGACUAGGAGGUGGGUAUAGCCAUGGUGGUUAUCUAGGAAGGAGACCAGGAGGAGGGUUCUUAAAGCCAUGGUGGUUAUCUAGGAAGGAGACCAGGAGGAGGGUUCAUAAAGCCAUGGUGGUUAUCUAGGAAGGAGACCAGGAGGAGGGUUCAUAAAGCCAUGGUGGUUAUCUAGGAAGGAGACCGGGAGGAGGGUUCUUAAAGCCAUGGUGGUUAUCUAGGAAGGAGACCAGGAGGAGGGUUCAUAAAGCCAUGGUAGUUAUCUAGGAAGGAGACCAGGAGGAGGGUUCAUAUAGCCAUGGUGGUUAUCUAGGAAGGAGACCAGGAGGAGGGUUCUUAAAGCCAUGGUGGUCAUCUAGGAAGGAGACCAGGAGGAGGGUAUAGCCAUGGUGGUUAUCUAGGAAGGAGACCAGGAGGAGGGUUCUUAAAGCCAUGGUGGUUAUCUAGGAAGGAGACCAGGAGGUGGGUAUAGCCAUGGUGGUUAUCUAGGAAGGAGACCAGGAGGAGGGUUCUUAAAGCCAUGGUGGUUAUCUAGGAAUGAGACCAGGAGGAGGGUUCAUAUAGCCAUGGUGGUUAUCUAGGAAGGAGACCAGGAGGUGGGUAUAGCCAUGGUGGUUAUCUAGGAAGGAGACCAGGAGGUGGGUAUAGCCAUGGUGGUUAUCUAGGAAGGAGACCGGGAGGAGGGUUCUUAAAGCCAUGGUGGUUAUCUAGGAAUGAGACCAGGAGGAGGGUUCAUAUAGCCAUGGUGGUUAUCUAGGAAGGAGACCAGGAGGAGGGUUCCUAAAGCCAUGGUGGUUAUCUAGGAAGGAGACCAGGAGGAGGGUUCAUAAAGCCAUGGUGGUUAUCUAGGAAGGAGACCAGGAGGAGGGUUCCUAAAGCCAUGGUGGUUAUCUAGGAAGGAGACCAGGAGGAGGGUUCUUAAAGCCAUGGUGGUUAUCUAGGAGGGGGAAUCUCAGUUUUUAGUUUCCAUCUGCUGGCCAGCUUCACAACAUUUAGAAAAACAGCCUGUUAUCAUACUUAUUUAAGUAUGAGAAAAUAUUGAUCCAAACUUAAGACUGUUUUUCAAUGUGAGCAGUUGAUACAAGACCUACUGUAUGUUAUAUUGACCUGCACACUGGAUUGUCUAAGUGGUGGAUUGGAUUUAGAACACAGACCGGUGAGGUGUGUUAGCCUAGUGAGACAGGUGUGGAGAAGUCCACAGACCAAUGAGGUGUGUUAGCCUAGUGAGACAGGUGUGCAGAAGUCCUGAACAGAAGAGAGCCGUGACUACAUGAACGCUGGCCAACAGAGUAGAGCCUAGA
Oncorhynchus mykiss (rainbow trout) is the source of this 2972-nucleotide non-coding RNA. NCBI's taxonomy places the organism in Eukaryota, Metazoa, Chordata, Actinopteri, Salmoniformes, Salmonidae. The record is from RefSeq and is a predicted model, not a curated record.